UGAACACGGUCAAUGCCAAAAUAAAUAUCAUAAUACUUGGAAGGAAGGUACUAAUAGCAGGAAGUUUCUGAUUAUCAGGUGCCCAUGAUGUGAUAGGCACACUGUGGCCUGUGCUGGACCAGGAGAUGGGUAAGUCCUUGCGGAUUUCUUCCCUGCUUAAGUGCAUAAAGCAGGUAUAUUGCACAGGUAUUUAUGUUUGCGUGAGUAAUACCCAAUUCCAAUUUUACUUGUGAUCAAGUUCUUUAAGCCACACCCAUUAGAUUGUUCUCAGACUGUCAAAUCAUAAAGAAAGGGCACUGAAUCAUCAUUUAAAACAUUGAUCUUUCCAACAUCAGCCAAAGAUGUCCAGGGAGCUGAAAUGCUAGCUGGUCUUGCUGUGGCCGUGGAGGUUGGAAUUCUGCCAAGAAGAGCAUCUGUGAGAGAGCAAAAUGGCUGUUUACAUUCCUCCUGUGAAGGGAGUUGGGAAAUAAUCUAAGAAGCCUAAUCCAAAAGCAAAGAUGUUCCAUCCAGUCUUCUCUGUGAGAGUCAAAGGACAAACCAUCUGAAUGUUCCAAAAGUGUUUAUAUUAAUGUAUUUUAAAUUAUUCUGAUAAUGUACUUGGCAGAGGCUUAAAGGUGUAAUUACUGAGACGACGUAGAAAUACCAAGUAUUUAUUCAAACAAUAUGCAAUAAUACAAAUGGUAUGGUUGUCACAAUACAAAAAUAUCUAUAAAGUAAAGAGUU
This is a long non-coding RNA of Cebus imitator (Panamanian white-faced capuchin), 723 nucleotides long. RefSeq lists it as uncharacterized. The transcript has 3 exons. NCBI's taxonomy places the organism in Eukaryota, Metazoa, Chordata, Mammalia, Primates, Cebidae. The record is from RefSeq and is a predicted model, not a curated record.